UUUUAGCACAAUUUCCGCGUGAGUGAUAGUAGUAGAAACCCUCCCGUUUUUCAGGGAGAUUGAAACGUAUAGCACGACCGCGC
Molecule: small RNA, 83 nt
Filed under: Flavobacterium weaverense
Lineage: Bacteria; Pseudomonadati; Bacteroidota; Flavobacteriia; Flavobacteriales; Flavobacteriaceae
Description: Flavo-1 RNA
Rfam family: Flavo-1 RNA
Source: RNAcentral